AGGCCAGAAGGAACAUAACAUGGCCUGGUGGGGAAGCCCUCACCAGGUGUCCACAACCCGGCAGCACCUGGCACUCUGUUCCGCCGGGUAUAUGAGGAGGCAAGCCCCAACCAGUGCCACACUUCGACAUGGAGCGACGCACCCUGCUGAUUGUCCUGCUAGUGUGCAGCUUCCUGCUGCUGGCUGUCACCGCCAAGGCCUCACCUUGGAGAGGUAGCCGCUUCGGCAGACCGCCGUUUGGCGGCAGACCGCCGUUUGGCGGCAGACCGCCGUUUGGCGGCAGACCGCCGUUUGGCGGAUCAGGUUGUGUAUGUUUCAAGGCACCGUGUCCUUGUUCCUACGGCUAACCCGACCAGCGAACUCUGCUUCUGACAAUGCUCCCUCGCGCCACACGACACUCGCCAUGGACGGAAAGCGCUGACUCUUGCUUACUUGAAUGAACUGAUAAAUUAACGGAGAAUUUUGUUUGGCACUUAGUGGUAAAUAAAGUAUUAGCAAUC
Long non-coding RNA from Portunus trituberculatus (swimming crab), 500 nucleotides. RefSeq lists it as uncharacterized. The transcript has 3 exons. NCBI's taxonomy places the organism in Eukaryota, Metazoa, Arthropoda, Malacostraca, Decapoda, Portunidae. The record is from RefSeq and is a predicted model, not a curated record.